UGCCUACGGGGGGCUGCAGUGGGGAAUUUUGGACAAUGGGCGCAAGCCUGAUCCAGCCAUGCCGCGUGCAGGAAGAAGGCCUUCGGGUUGUAAACUGCUUUUGUCAGGGAAGAAAUCUUCUGGGCUAAUACCCCGGGAGGAUGACGGUACCUGCAGAAUAAGCACCGGCUAACUACGUGCCAGCAGCCGCGGUAAUACGUAGGGUGCAAGCGUUAAUCGGAAUUACUGGGCGUAAAGCGUGCGCAGGCGGUGAUGUAAGCAAGCGGUGAAAGCCCCGGGCUCAACCUGGGAACUGCCUUUGUGACUGCAUCGCUGGAGGGCGGCAGAGGGGGAUGGAAUUCCGCGUGUAGCAGUGAAAUGCGUAGAUAUGCGGAGGAACACCGAUGGCGAAGGCAAUCCCCUGGGCCUGCACUGACGCUCAUGCACGAAAGCGUGGGGAGCAAACAGGAUUAGAUACCCCGGUAGUC
RNAcentral lists this ribosomal RNA (467 nucleotides) under uncultured Comamonadaceae bacterium. RNAcentral's name for it is "bacterial SSU rRNA". It matches the Rfam family "Bacterial small subunit ribosomal RNA", at positions 335 to 795 of the family's 1533-position model. The record is from RNAcentral. Lineage: Bacteria; Pseudomonadati; Pseudomonadota; Betaproteobacteria; Burkholderiales; Comamonadaceae.